Non-coding RNA from Dendronephthya gigantea, 78 nucleotides. The record is from the annotation of a RefSeq genome assembly. NCBI's taxonomy places the organism in Eukaryota, Metazoa, Cnidaria, Anthozoa, Malacalcyonacea, Nephtheidae.
GUUUCUGUGGCGCAAUCGGUUAGCGCGUUCGGCUGUUAACCAAAAGGUUGCAUGAUGGUUCAAAUCCAUCCAGAAACG